GAUGAACGCUGGCGGCGUGCCUAAUACAUGCAAGUCGAGCGAACGGACGAGAAGCUUGCUUCUCUGAUGUUAGCGGCGGACGGGUGAGUAACACGUGGAUAACCUACCUAUAAGACUGGGAUAACUUCGGGAAACCGGAGCUAAUACCGGAUAAUAUUUUGAACCGCAUGGUUCAAAAGUGAAAGACGGUCUUGCUGUCACUUAUAGAUGGAUCCGCGCUGCAUUAGCUAGUUGGUAAGGUAACGGCUUACCAAGGCAACGAUGCAUAGCCGACCUGAGAGGGUGAUCGGCCACACUGGAACUGAGACACGGUCCAGACUCCUACGGGAGGCAGCAGUAGGGAAUCUUCCGCAAUGGGCGAAAGCCUGACGGAGCAACGCCGCGUGAGUGAUGAAGGUCUUCGGAUCGUAAAACUCUGUUAUUAGGGAAGAACAUAUGUGUAAGUAACUGUGCACAUCUUGACGGUACCUAAUCAGAAAGCCACGGCUAACUACGUGCCAGCAGCCGCGGUAAUACGUAGGUGGCAAGCGUUAUCCGGAAUUAUUGGGCGUAAAGCGCGCGUAGGCGGUUUUUUAAGUCUGAUGUGAAAGCCCACGGCUCAACCGUGGAGGGUCAUUGGAAACUGGAAAACUUGAGUGCAGAAGAGGAAAGUGGAAUUCCAUGUGUAGCGGUGAAAUGCGCAGAGAUAUGGAGGAACACCAGUGGCGAAGGCGACUUUCUGGUCUGUAACUGACGCUGAUGUGCGAAAGCGUGGGGAUCAAACAGGAUUAGAUACCCUGGUAGUCCACGCCGUAAACGAUGAGUGCUAAGUGUUAGGGGGUUUCCGCCCCUUAGUGCUGCAGCUAACGCAUUAAGCACUCCGCCUGGGGAGUACGACCGCAAGGUUGAAACUCAAAGGAAUUGACGGGGACCCGCACAAGCGGUGGAGCAUGUGGUUUAAUUCGAAGCAACGCGAAGAACCUUACCAAACCUUGACAUCCUUUGACAACUCUAGAGAUAGAGCUUUCCCCUUCGGGGGACAAAGUGACAGGUGGUGCGUGGUUGUCGUCAGCUCGUGUCGUGAGAUGUUGGGUUAAGUCCCGCAACGAGCGCAACCCUUAAGCUUAGUUGCCAUCAUUAAGUUGGGCACUCUAAGUUGACUGCCGGUGACAAACCGGAGGAAGGUGGGGAUGACGUCAAAUCAUCAUGCCCCUUAUGAUUUGGGCUACACACGUGCUACAAUGGACAAUACAAAGGGCAGCGAAACCGCGAGGUCAAGCAAAUCCCAUAAAGUUGUUCUCAGUUCGGAUUGUAGUCUGCAACUCGACUACAUGAAGCUGGAAUCGCUAGUAAUCGUAGAUCAGCAUGCUACGGUGAAUACGUUCCCGGGUCU
Molecule: ribosomal RNA, 1372 nt
Filed under: uncultured bacterium
Lineage: Bacteria
Description: bacterial SSU rRNA
Rfam family: Bacterial small subunit ribosomal RNA
Source: RNAcentral